GACGAACGCUGGCGGCGUGCUUAACACAUGCAAGUCGAACGGAAAGGCCCUGCUUUUGUGGGGUGCUCGAGUGGCGAACGGGUGAGUAACACGUGAGUAACCUGCCCUCGACUUUGGGAUAACUUCAGGAAACUGGGGCUAAUACCGGAUAGGAGCUCCUGCUGCAUGGUGGGGGUUGGAAAGUUUCGGCGGUUGGGGAUGGACUCGCGGCUUAUCAGCUUGUUGGUGGGGUAGUGGCUUACCAAGGCUUUGACGGGUAGCCGGCCUGAGAGGGUGACCGGCCACAUUGGGACUGAGAUACGGCCCAGACUCCUACGGGAGGCAGCAGCGGGGAAUAUUGCACAAUGGGCGGAAGCCUGAUGCAGCAACGCCGCGUGCGGGAUGACGGCCUUCGGGUUGUAAACCGCUUUCGCCUGUGACGAAGCGUGAGUGACGGUAAUGGGUAAAGAAGCACCGGCUAACUACGUG
RNAcentral lists this ribosomal RNA (468 nucleotides) under uncultured bacterium. Its description in RNAcentral is "partial 16S ribosomal RNA". It matches the Rfam family "Bacterial small subunit ribosomal RNA", at positions 28 to 507 of the family's 1533-position model. The record is from RNAcentral.